Molecule: long non-coding RNA, 734 nt
Organism: Panicum virgatum (switchgrass)
Lineage: Eukaryota; Viridiplantae; Streptophyta; Magnoliopsida; Poales; Poaceae
Exons: 3
Source: RefSeq, a predicted model, not a curated record
CCGGCCAUCCUCGGCAUCCUGGACGUCCUCGUUCAGGCUCCCCAAACCCAGCUCGAGCCUUGACUCUCUCUCUCCCUCGCUUAGUUUCUUCUUCCUCCAUUCCACCAUGGAUAGAGCUUGAGCAGCUCGUGUUCAUCGACCAAAUCCGCGAGCCCCUCCAUGGAUUCCAAAUCCACUACGCCCGAAGCUUUCUUGCCUUCCUAGCUUUCUCCCCAUCCCCUCCCAUCACAGCCCCGACCCUCACCUCGCCGGGAAUCGAGGAUUCCCCGGCCGCUGGUCUUCUUCGUGCCUGAGAUCCACCUCGCCGUCGAACUCUCAUCUCCGGCCACCGUUUUCGUCGCCCAACAGAUCAAAUCGAUUCCCGUAGCCGAGGAAGUCAUGUUCGAGGUAAUCGCGGAGCCAAGGAGCAGUCCGGGCAAGCCCAGUAGGAGAUUCGCGAGAACUCGACCCAAGGCCCAGUUGAGCCUAGCACUGAGCAACAGCCCGAAGGCAAGCCCCGGCCACGCAGAUGUAGAUUUCUGCCCUUGCUGCGCCAAGUUCAUCCUCCAUAACGCGGAAGGUUGGGAGGUUGCUGGCCCAGAUGUUUAGAUGGACUUCUGAUUACACACCUUUGGGAAAAGUGUGUAAUCUUUUAUCGUAGCUGUCGGAUUAUAUGUUUAUCCAACUUUUGUAAAAUGGCAUGUAAAUUAUCUUUGUAUUUGAACUCGGUUUGUAAACCUUAAUAUUUCGCACUA